RNAcentral lists this non-coding RNA (21 nucleotides) under Caenorhabditis elegans. The record is from RNAcentral. Lineage: Eukaryota; Metazoa; Nematoda; Chromadorea; Rhabditida; Rhabditidae.
UAUAACUAUGGGAUCGAUGUU